RNAcentral lists this ribosomal RNA (513 nucleotides) under uncultured Glomeromycotina. RNAcentral describes it as "SSU rRNA". It matches the Rfam family "Eukaryotic small subunit ribosomal RNA", at positions 569 to 1086 of the family's 1831-position model. The record is from RNAcentral. Lineage: Eukaryota; Fungi; Glomeromycota.
AGCAGCCGCGGUAAUUCCAGCUCCAAUAGCGUAUAUUAAAGUUGUUGCAGUUAAAAAGCUCGUAGUUGAAUUUCGGGAUCAAUAUAUUGGUCGUGCCUUCGGUAUGCACUGGUAUUAUUGAUUUCUACCUUCUGACGAACUAUGAUGUCAUUAAUUUGGUGUCAUGGGGAAUCAGGACUGUUACUUUGAAAAAUUAGAGUGUUUAAAGCAGGCACACGCUUGAAUACAUUAGCAUGGAAUAAUGAAAUAGGACGUUUGACCCUAUUUUGUUGGUUUCUAGGAUCGACGUAAUGAUUAAUAGGGAUAGUUGGGGGCAUUAGUAUUCAAUUGUCAGAGGUGAAAUUCUUGGAUUUAUUGAAGACUAACUACUGCGAAAGCAUUUGCCAAGGAUGUUUUCAUUAAUCAAGAACGAAAGUUAGGGGAUCGAAGACGAUCAGAUACCGUCGUAGUCUUAACCAUAAACUAUGCCGACUAGGGAUCGGAUGAUGUUAAUUUUAAUGACUCAUUGGACCG